Long non-coding RNA from Esox lucius (northern pike), 1625 nucleotides. RefSeq lists it as uncharacterized. The record is from RefSeq and is a predicted model, not a curated record. The transcript has 2 exons. NCBI's taxonomy places the organism in Eukaryota, Metazoa, Chordata, Actinopteri, Esociformes, Esocidae.
AACAGGAAUCUAGGAAACUUCACCUGCACUGUCCAGUAUCCAGGUGGAAAUGUUAAAAACGGUUGAUUGUGAUUCCGCCGGAUUCAAAAGGAUACACAGGAUCCCCGAUCAAGACUGAAUCCUGUACAUUGUUCCUCUACAAGAGGACCUUGAUCUUCAUCCAGUCCCUGCACAUUCCAGAGUAUUCGAAGAAAUGCCAAAACCAACAUGUCAAAUGUGCAACCAAAACAUGCCACUACAGAUGCUGGCUCUUCAUAUCCAGGUUUGUGAGAAGGGAUGUGGAUCUGAGAAAGAAAAUGUAUCUGAGGAAGGAAAGGUGUAAUAAUAAUGUAUUUUUAGUUCUUAACAGAGUAUGUAGUGAAUGAACAUAUAUGCGUAAGUGAUCUAUAACCGUUACAAAUCAUGAUGAACACAACCCAAGAUUUUGUUUGGAUGGGGUGAAGGUGGGUAUUAGGCUGUGGAAUGUAUCAUCUGAUCAAUGUUUUCAAGGCUGCAUUAAUGUUGUUUUUAUCAGUCUCUGUAAUAGAUAAAAGUACAAGUAGAAAAUUAUGUGAGGGGAACUCUGAUAAAGCAUUUCAUUUUACAGUGUAGCAGAGACUUUUCUUUCCCUGCUUUAAUUUAAUCUUCACACUAAAUGUUUUAUUCUGCUGCUGUUUGGGUUUUGAAUUGUGGAUUUGUUGUCCAGGAACAGACUGAAGUUGAAUUCAUCUCUGAAAUAAAGUGAGUAGAGAUGGAGCCAGAAACGUAUGCUAAUGUGGUACCUUAAACCAGCAAUAUUUGUAAAAGUCAGCUUUUUUUUUAACACUUUUUGCUUUACAUAUUUGAAAAUGACAAAUGUACACAUUACCCUGCAUGGAUAUACACCAAUCAGACAACAUUAUGACCACCUACCUAAUAUUGUGUAGGUCCCCUUUUGCCCGUCAAAACAGCCCUGACCCAUAGAGGCAUGGAUUCCACCCGACCUCUGAAGGUGUGCUGUGGUAUCUGGAACCAAGACAUUAGGUCUUUACACAAACCUGGGGCUUUGUAGGACCUUCAGAUUCUUGUUUGUCGCGGGGAAACAUUCCUGUCAGGGGAACUGAUCAGUGUGACUGAAUGAAAACUUCCAAAUUCACACCUUCUGAGUAAUCCUGUUGCACAAUUUGUUUAACGCUAUGAAAAAACACACUUCACCAACAGCAUCUGAGCUCUGCUAAAUCAGCUGAUGUACCAUCAAUGAGAACGUGCCAAAUGACUUGCAAUUACAGCCUGUAAAUCAGCUCUUUAACAUCAUGUAUGGAUUUGGUCUCAGACUGAACCCAUGUCAGGACUGAGUCCCUGAGGUUUCCUGUGAAGCAGCGGGCCCUUUGGAAGAGCAACAUGAGUGUCUUCACCUGCAUGUCUUCUGUCAUGAAGUUCAAGGGUAUUAAUAGUUAAUAGGACGUCUGUGGGGAACUAAUAGUCUCUGUAACCCCCCAGUAAAACAUUUCUGUAAUCCCCCAGUAAAACAUUACUGUAAACCCCCAAUUAAGCAUUUCUGUAACCCCCCAGUAUAGCAUUUCUGUAAUCCUCCAAUAAAGCAUUUCUGUAAACCCCCAGUAAAACAUUUCUGUAAUCCCCCAGUAAAACAUUACUGUAAACCCCCA